AUUACAUGUUGUCUUGCUCAAGAAUGCACCAAGCACCUAGUUGUCGAAGGUGAGGUUGUCUUUCACAAAUAUCCAAGAAAUCCUAAUAGAUUUUAUCCAUAUGAGAAGAACACAAUCUGAAUUUCAAUUCAAAAGUGCUAAAAAUACUCUUCUUAGUAGCCUUAAUCAUACAUAAAUCCCAAUUACCUUAUUACUUUAUAUUUAAGGAAUUUAGAUUUUUCUUGUAAGUCCCAAUCAUAAUCAAUGAACUUUAAUAAGCUGUAAUAUCCAAUCUGAUCGUCUACUUGAUAUAAAAUUUUGCAUGCAAUUGUCAAUGUAAGUCUUCUAUAUGCUCAAAAAUUUUUAGGCCAAUCUAACUUAAAAAUUAUGAGAAAACCUCCAAAAAGUGCAUUGAUGUCACUUGGCCGCCAACUUGAAAAGUGAAGCAGAAAUCCCAGUAGUGAUAUCUCCCUUUCCAACCGUUAACUUUGACUCAAAAUUUUUAUGCAGCUUGAUCUUUAAGUCCUUCAACACCACGCCAAAUUUCACCUUGAUCCAACUAAUAGAUCUCUAAAUUUUAUAGAAACCCUACCCAACCUCAAACUGCCAACUUUUGAAACCCUCUUGUGCUAAAAACUAGUUAUCUCUAAACCACGCUAUUAGAUUAUCACAAAAUUUUGUAUACACGUAGCACACCCAAUUAUCCAAACAAUUUUAAUUUUUCAACUAUAGUUGCUACACCAAUUGUACAAACUAGCUAAAAUUACUAGUCCUAAUUAUAUUAUAUAAAAUUCAAAUCACCAAUACAAACCCUGACUUUGAAUAAUAAUUGUUAAGUCCUCAAAAAUCCUCCAAAAAAAAUCCUUAUGCCUCUAGAAAUGAAUUCAAGCUAGCUCUCAAAUCCUAUCUUU
Molecule: long non-coding RNA, 890 nt
Filed under: Physcomitrium patens
Lineage: Eukaryota; Viridiplantae; Streptophyta; Bryopsida; Funariales; Funariaceae
Description: long non-coding RNA (PPAT_LNC001384)
Source: RNAcentral